GACGAACGCUGGCGGCGUGCUUAACACAUGCAAGUCGAACGGAAAGGCCCUGCUUUUGUGGGUUGCUCGAUUGGCGAACGGGUGAGUAACACGUGAGUAACCUGCCCUUGACUUUGGGAUAACUUCAGGAAACUGGGGCUAAUACCGCAUAGGAGCUCCUGCUGCAUGGUGGUGGUUGGAAAGUUUCGGCGGUUGGGGAUGGACUCGCGGCUUAUCAGCUUGUUGGUGGGGUAGUUGCUUACCAAGGCUUUGACGGGUAGCCGGCCUGAGAGGGUGACCGGCCACAUUGGGACUGAGAUACGGCCCAGACUCCUACGGGAGGCAGCAGUGGGGAAUAUUGCACAAUGGGCGGAAGCCUGAUGCAGCAACGCCGCGUGCGGGAUGACGGCCUUCGGGUUGUAAACCGCUUUCGCCUGUGACGAAGCGUGAGUGACGGUAAUGGGUAAAGAAGCACCGGCUAACUACGUG
Molecule: ribosomal RNA, 468 nt
Filed under: uncultured bacterium
Lineage: Bacteria
Description: partial 16S ribosomal RNA
Rfam family: Bacterial small subunit ribosomal RNA
Source: RNAcentral